GGCCCAUUAGCUCAGUCGGUUAGAGCAAACGACUCAUAAUCGUUGGGUCUCCCGUUCGAGCCGGGAAUGGGCCACCA
This 77-nucleotide transfer RNA is filed under the name Candidatus Avisuccinivibrio stercorigallinarum. RNAcentral's name for it is "tRNA-Ile". It matches the Rfam family "tRNA". Rfam says of the family: Transfer RNA (tRNA) molecules are approximately 80 nucleotides in length. Their secondary structure includes four short double-helical elements and three loops (D, anti-codon, and T loops). Lineage: Bacteria; Pseudomonadati; Pseudomonadota; Gammaproteobacteria; Aeromonadales; Succinivibrionaceae. The record is from RNAcentral.